GUGCUCGCUUCGGCAGCACAUAUACUAAACUUGGAACGCUACAGAGAAGAUUAGCAUGGCCCCUGCACAAGGAUAACAUGAAGCAUUCCAUAUUAAA
This 97-nucleotide small nuclear RNA is filed under the name Myotis brandtii (Brandt's bat). Lineage: Eukaryota; Metazoa; Chordata; Mammalia; Chiroptera; Vespertilionidae. The record is from RNAcentral.